RNAcentral lists this transfer RNA (71 nucleotides) under Marmota monax (woodchuck). RNAcentral describes it as "tRNA.Val". The record is from RNAcentral. Lineage: Eukaryota; Metazoa; Chordata; Mammalia; Rodentia; Sciuridae.
GGGGUUGUGGCUCAGUGGUACAGUGCUCAUCUCACACAUGGAAGGCACUGGGUUUGAUCCUCAGCACCACA